Molecule: ribosomal RNA, 253 nt
Filed under: uncultured bacterium
Lineage: Bacteria
Description: partial 16S ribosomal RNA
Rfam family: Bacterial small subunit ribosomal RNA
Source: RNAcentral
UACAGAGGUCCCAAGCGUUGUUCGGAUUCACUGGGCGUAAAGGGCGCGUAGGUGGCCGGGUAAGUCUGACGUGAAAUCUCCGAGCCUAACUCGGAAACUGCAUCGGAUACUAUCCGGCUUGAGGGUUGGAGGGGGGACUGGAAUACUUGGUGUAGCAGUGAAAUGCGUAGAUAUCAAGUGGAACACCAGUGGCGAAGGCGAGUCCCUGGACAACUCCUGACACUGAGGCACGAAAGCUAGGGGAGCAAACAGG